GCGUGUGUGAAGAAGGCCUUCGGGUUGUAAAGCACUUUUGUCCGGAAAGAAAUCCUUGGCUCUAAUACAGUCGGGGGAUGACGGUACCGGAAGAAUAAGCACCGGCUAACUACGUGCCAGCAGCCGCGGUAAUACGUAGGGUGCGAGCGUUAAUCGGAAUUACUGGGCGUAAAGCGUGCGCAGGCGGUUUGCUAAGACCGAUGUGAAAUCCCCGGGCUCAACCUGGGAACUGCAUUGGUGACUGGCAGGCUAGAGUAUGGCAGAGGGGGGUAGAAUUCCACGUGUAGCAGUGAAAUGCGUAGAGAUGUGGAGGAAUACCGAUGGCGAAGGCAGCCCCCUGGGCCAAUACUGACGCUCAUGCACGAAAGCGUGGGGAGCAAACAGGAUUAGAUACCCUGGUAGUCCACGCCCUAAACGAUGUCAACUAGUUGUUGGGGAUUCAUUUCCUUAGUAACGUAGCUAACGCGUGAAGUUGACCGCCUGGGGAGUACGGUCGC
RNAcentral lists this ribosomal RNA (497 nucleotides) under Burkholderia sp. BWM100-7. Its description in RNAcentral is "bacterial SSU rRNA". It matches the Rfam family "Bacterial small subunit ribosomal RNA", at positions 399 to 889 of the family's 1533-position model. The record is from RNAcentral. Lineage: Bacteria; Pseudomonadati; Pseudomonadota; Betaproteobacteria; Burkholderiales; Burkholderiaceae.